GAAAUGCGAUAAGUAGUGUGAAUUGCAGAAUUCAGUGAAUCAUCAAAUCUUUGAACGCACAUUGCGCUUCCUGGUAUUCCGGGGAGCAUGCCCGUUUCAGAAUCAUUAAAAUCUCACAAGCCUUAUUGUCAGCUUUCGGGCUCAUUUGGCAGGUGGAUUUGGAUGUUUUGCUUUGUGCAAUCAUCUUAAAUUUAUUGUAUGUGCGCCGUAUUUUUACAUCGGUUAUCUUAAAAGUGCAACAGAUUUAUCUAUUCUCUUUGGGUAAGUGAUGUCAAAACUGGUUGUGGAUACUCUUUACAUUAAAAGAUGUAGAUUGCUUGCAAUCAUGUCUUUGAUAACUUGGUCUGAAAUCGGGCAAGAAAACCCGCUGAACUUAA
This 377-nucleotide unclassified non-coding RNA is filed under the name uncultured fungus. RNAcentral's name for it is "sequence contains ITS1". The stretch from base 1 to 105 matches the Rfam family "5.8S ribosomal RNA", at positions 50 to 154 of the family's 154-position model. The record is from RNAcentral. Lineage: Eukaryota; Fungi.